RNAcentral lists this ribosomal RNA (194 nucleotides) under uncultured bacterium. RNAcentral describes it as "partial 16S ribosomal RNA". It matches the Rfam family "Bacterial small subunit ribosomal RNA", at positions 338 to 524 of the family's 1533-position model. The record is from RNAcentral.
CCUACGGGAGGCAGCAGUGGGGAAUUUUGGACAAUGGACGCAAGUCUGAUCCAGCCAUUCCGCGUGCAGGAUGAAGGCCCUCGGGUUGUAAACUGCUUUUGUACGGAACGAAAAGGUCUCUCUUAAUACGGGGGGCUCAUGACGGUACCGUAAGAAUAAGCACCGGCUAACUACGUGCCAGCAGCCGCGGUAAU